This 399-nucleotide ribosomal RNA is filed under the name uncultured bacterium. Its description in RNAcentral is "bacterial SSU rRNA". It matches the Rfam family "Bacterial small subunit ribosomal RNA", at positions 358 to 773 of the family's 1533-position model. The record is from RNAcentral.
GGAAUAUUGCACAAUGGGCGCAAGCCUGAUGCAGCGACGCCGCGUGGGCGAAGCAGGUUUUCGGAUCGUAAAGCCCUUUUCUGCGUGACGAUGAUGACGGUAGCGCAGGACGACGUGUCGGCGCACUACGUGCCAGCCGCAGCGGUAAAACGUAGGACGCGAACGUUAUCCGGAAUUACUGGGCGUAAAGGGCGCGCCGGCGGUCGGGUAAGUUAGGCAUGAAAGCUCCCUGGCUAAACCGGGAGAGGCUGUCUGAUACUGCCGGACUGGAGUGUGGUAGAGGGGUGUAGAAUUCUGCGUGUAGUGGUGAAAUGCGUAGAUAUGCGGAGGAAUACCAGUGGCGAAGGCGGCACCCUGGACCACAACUGACGCUGAGGCGCGAAAGCAUGGGUAGCGAAC